AGCAGCCGCGGUAAUUCCAGCUCCAAUAGCGUAUAUUAAAGUUGUUGCAGUUAAAAAGCUCGUAGUUGAAUUUCGGGGUCAGUAGGUCGGUCGUGCCACUGGUAUGAACUGGUUUUACUGAUUCCUCCCUCUUGAAGAACUGUAAUGCCAUUAAUUUGGUGUUGCAGGGAAUCAGGACUGUUACUUUGAAAAAAUUUAGAGUGUUUAAAGCAGGCUUUAGCUUGAAUACAUUAGCAUGGAAUAAUGAAAUAGGACGUUUGAUCCUAUUUUGUUGGUUUCUAGGAUUGACGUAAUGAUUAAUAGGGAUAGUUGGGGGCAUUAGUAUUCAAUUGUCAGAGGUGAAAUUCUUGGAUUUAUUGAAGACUAACUACUGCGAAAGCAUUUGCCAAGGAUGUUUUCAUUAAUCAAGAACGAAAGUUNGGGGAUCAAGACGAUCAGAUACCGUCGUAGUCUUAACCAUAAACUAUGCCGACUAGGGAUCGGAUGAUGUUAAUUUUUUAAUGACUCAUUCGGCGCCUUA
Molecule: unclassified non-coding RNA, 520 nt
Filed under: uncultured Glomus
Lineage: Eukaryota; Fungi; Glomeromycota; Glomeromycetes; Glomerales; Glomeraceae
Description: SSU rRNA
Rfam family: Eukaryotic small subunit ribosomal RNA
Source: RNAcentral